AGGGAGUGAGGGAGGAAGGGUUUGGAGAGGAUGUGGAGAUUUUGUUCAACAGUUGCCAAUCAAAGAGUUUGAACUGGACUAAAAUCUAGUGAAUAUAGUUUUGAAGCCCAAAUACAAAUUGAAAAAAGCUUAUUUUCUCAUAUGACCUGUUUAGACCUGUAGGAACCAGCUCGUAAAACGCGUCGGGUUAGGAUCAAUUUUAAUUUUAAAUUAUUAUCGCCUCGUCCCGUCUCGUUCUGUUUUCAAACUGGUCGGGUCUAGUCUCUUUAAUUUUGGGCUCCACCUAGCCUAUGCCUACCCCUAGUGUUAAGUGAUGUAAUUUUGGUACUUACUCUUAAAAAAAUUUAUGAUGUGUUGUUUAUUAACUUUUUUAUUUUAAAGGCUUUCCAUUAAAACUCCUUUAUUUAUUUGUUGGUCAAAUAUUUUAACGUUUAAUAAGUGUAUGAGAAUGAGAACGUUAAGUAGUUGCCAUUGCCACAACAAAACUGGCAAAUACGACCCCAAUCGUAAUAUUUUAACUGAGAAAUCAUUUGACGUCACAUGAUAUUAUUCUUUCAUUGAAGCCAAGAAAGUGACUUUCCCAGGAAACAUUUAAACCCAUAUUAUUAUUAUUAUAUUAUUAUUAUUUAUAGGCCAAUGCUUUUAGAUUUAGGAGACCCUUCUUUGUACUUUCACUUGAUUUUCUUUAUUGUGUUGGUGGUGCCUUAAUUAGCACUUGUCCAAAAUUUACCCCUAAUUCAAUCCAUAAUUUACAUGGAGAACAUACACCUACACUCAUUUAUUUUUAUUUGAUUCUUUCGUGCAUAAAUUUAUGCAUUUUAUUUUAUCUAAUACAAAAUGCAAUCAUUUUACCUUACCAUAAUAUUUACUUGUAUUCUUAUAGAUGGAGUUAAAUUUAAAACGUCUUCUAAUAUUGAAAUAAAAAACACUAAUUACCAAAUAUUUACAAGCCUGCAGGGUUGGCCUGUAAUGUUUUUUACAAUAUACGCAUGUGGAUACCGAUACUUAAUGAGUAAAUAGAGACUGUAAGAAUAUUACUGUGUAAAUUUCUAUCAUCCAAUGCAACUGUACAUCUCAUACACCUAUGCAUGGUAUAAUUAUGAGAAAGUUUGUUGUAAAUUAAAGUUGAUAUUAAAAUUAUAAAAAAUAAAAAAUAAAAAAUAAAAAAACUGGAUAUUAAAAUUAGGUGUGGAUAUUGGAUAAGGAUUGUCUGCCCUCCUAGUUGUGGUGCUCUUCCAUGCUCUCAUAUUUUGUGCGGUCACGGUUAAGCCACGUCAAUAUUUUAUAUUAAUUUUUUAAUGAGAUAAUAAGACAAAAAACACUAAAAAUAUAAAAUAUUGACGUAACUUAACCGUGACCAUACAAAAUAGAAGGGCAUGGAAUGACACCACAACUAAGAGGGCAGACAAUCCUUGUCCGUGGAUAUUGUCAUGCUCAUGAUUAGAUAAAUGCAGCUCACAUUUUUAAUUAAAAGAAUCUAUGGAAAUAAUGAUAGGCUUAUUAUUUUGGGAUGAUAGGCUUAUUAGUUUGGGACUCUUUUGUCAUUUUCUGCGGACCAAGUUGCAUGAGAGAUAUGGUGACAGAACCUGGAAACGGAGAUACAACAAACACAGCCCCCACGCUCGACUGUGUCCCAGGACUCAUCUAAUUGGUGGGACCGAUAGGGUUUGUUCUACACGCGCGGGGAUGAGGGUGGUGCAAAGGAAGGAGGGGCGUGGAUUGAUGAGUUCAAAUGAUUGUGAUGAGGAGGGUGUCGGGGAGUGGAGUGACAAGAUGACACGAACGAUUGUGUGGAAGGUGUGUGCGUGGGGGCCCACAAGUUGAAGCAGGAAAAGAGAGAAGCGUGUUAGAGCACGUGUCCCGAAUGGGCCAGGCAGGACAUGUUGGUCCACGUGAGUUUGGGGGAGGCAAUGCUCUUUCUUCCACGCUUCCCUUAUUUUUGCAAGCCCCUCCCUUCCCACGUGAACUCCACUCUCUCUCUGUCUCUCUCUUCGCUUGUUUCAUUUGUCCAGCUUCGGCUUGGCUGCAUGGCUAUUUGCUCAAACAGCUUCGGCCUACUUCUCCCUAAUAUUUAGCGCAACCAAACUCUUUUUAACUUAAGAUAUGAUAUCCACACAUUCUUUUUACUUCUUUCACAUUUUUUUAAUUUUUAAUUGUCGGAUUGGAUGAAUUGAAAAAUAUCAAAGGAUAAAAAUUAAUAAGGGAUGUGGAAGAAGUAAAAAGGAUGUGUGGAUAGCACACCCCUUAACUUAAUCAUUCCAUGUGUUAAUCCAUGUGUUCAUGAUCAUAUAAGUUUUUUUUGUUAAUAAACAAUAUUAUUUACACUAAGAUGGUGAGAGAAUGAGCUAGCAAUAAUGCAAUUCAAAUUCGUUUUUGACAAAAAUCGAACAUAAAACCUCUCAGUUACUAGUAACAAGGAAUACUAUUUGACCGUAAACUAAAUGACAAUGAUCAUUUAUGUUAAAGAAGGAUAAUAAAUCUUUAUUAUGCAUCUCUUAUUCUCUUAUUCGCUAUCAUGGGCUCCUCUCGUCGCUUAUUGUUUCACUAGCUCAUCUUAGUUAGAUGCAGUAAUUAGUACAUUUAAUGUGUACUUUUCAUUAGUGUUGUCUACUGACAAAUAAGAAUUAUCAUACUAUUAAGUUUAAUAUAUUGAACUCAUGAAUUUAAUAUAUGGAAUUCAUGAGUUUAAUAUAUUGAUAUCACACUCAAAUUCUCUGAUCUACUAAAAGAGUUUAAUUCUUAUAUGAACUCAAUAUGUUGAAAUCCCACUUACUUUUUUGGCUUACUGUGGAAGGACUUAGAUGUGGUUGGAAAUGUAGUUGUUAAAAAUUAUUGGAAGUAGUUGGAAAUGUAGUUUCUAAAGUGCAAUAUUUUCACAUAUGACAUGUUCCAACCACUCUAUUGUUGUAACUUGUAAACCUUGUUGUAAACCAUGCCCCAAACUCCUUGGUUUGAUUGAGAAAUUACUUUAAUACAAGCAAGAGAAAGUACGAAUUUCAAAACAACAUUAAAUUGCACCAAUAGUACAAACUCAAUAUCCAGGAGGUCGCAUUUACGACAUGUUUGACUAAUAUUUGCGUACAUGUUAUCUCAUGGCCAAUUUAAAAAUCAAAAUAUGUUAAGCAUUUAGUGCUACGGUUUAGUGAUAUACUUCUUCAUUUAUAAGUGAGAGGUUUUGAAUUUGAUUCUCACCAAAGGAAAAUUUACCACAUUAUUGCUAAUUUAUUAUGAAACUUUGCCCGCUCUUGCACACUCCUUAGUAUAGAUAUAGUUAAUAAAAAUAUAUAUGCUACAUCAUGUAAUUAACACACUUUGACCAAAAAUACAAAACUUUCCUAGGUAAAUUAGUCACGGUGAAUCUGGUAAUGCAGCCACAAGAUCCUAGUUGUCUGAAAGGGCUCAGCUAUCAACCAUCUCAUAGCAGUUCCACCGCUGCUCUUUGCCUAGCACCCAGCCCAAAAAAUGGACCGGCUUCCCUUCAAUCUGCUUCACCCCAACCCUUUAGGCUGGCACCCAGCCCAAGCCAAGCCACAAGCUGUGACACACCCCGACCCAGGAUGUCCACUAGAAAUCCGAAUCGAGCUGUAAUGGCCAACACCUGGAAGGUGACGAAGCCAUAAAUUGUGAUGAUGAUGAAAAAUGUGAAUAAAUUUAAACCUAAGAGUGCCUCAAAACCAGAAUGCGCUGGUCAGCGGAAAUGAACCCAGUUCACACGUGACGUUAAAGCACAAGUAAGUACAGUAGAGUGGAUUGAGAAUUAUACCAUCGAAAGAAAUCUCCAAUACUAAGAUUUUCAAUGAAUCCUCGUCGAUAAGAAAGCUCAGCUAAUAAAACAUGGAGGGUGAAAACAAAAUAAGGGUUAGUGGCCCUGGAAAUAAAAUCUUAAU
This 3887-nucleotide long non-coding RNA is filed under the name Malus domestica (apple). RNAcentral describes it as "long non-coding RNA (MDOM_LNC005624)". The record is from RNAcentral. Lineage: Eukaryota; Viridiplantae; Streptophyta; Magnoliopsida; Rosales; Rosaceae.